AGUGAACGCUGGCGGUAGGCCUAACACAUGCAAGUCGAACGGCAGCACAGUAAGAGCUUGCUCUUACGGGUGGCGAGUGUCGGACGGGUGAGUAAUACAUCGGAAUCUACUUUUUCGUGGGUGAUAACGUAGGGAAACUUACGCUAAUACCGCAUACGACCUACUGGUGAAAGCAGGGGAUCUUCGGACCUUGCGCGAUUGAAUGAGCCGAUGUCGGAUUAGCUAGUUGGCGGGGUAAAGGCCCACCAAGGCGACGAUCCGUAGCUGGUCUGAGAGGAUGAUCAGACACACUGGAACUGAGACACGGUACAGACUCCGACGGGAGGAAGCAGUGGGGAAUAUUGGACAAUGGGCGAAAGCCUGAUACAGCCAUACCGCGUGGGUGAAGAAGGAGUUAGGGUUGUAAAGCCAUUUUGUUGGGAAAGAAAAGAAGCAGGUUAAUACCCCGCUGUUAUGACGGUACCCAAAGAAUAAGCACCGGCUAACUUCGUG
Molecule: ribosomal RNA, 492 nt
Filed under: uncultured bacterium
Lineage: Bacteria
Description: partial 16S ribosomal RNA
Rfam family: Bacterial small subunit ribosomal RNA
Source: RNAcentral